RNAcentral lists this ribosomal RNA (301 nucleotides) under uncultured bacterium. Its description in RNAcentral is "partial 16S ribosomal RNA". It matches the Rfam family "Bacterial small subunit ribosomal RNA", at positions 509 to 809 of the family's 1533-position model. The record is from RNAcentral.
CAGCAGCCACGGUAAUACGUAGGUGGCAAGCGUUAUCCGGAAUUAUUGGGCGUAAAGCGCGCGUAGGCGGUUUUUUAAGUCUGAUGUGAAAGCCCACGGCUCAACCGUGGAGGGUCAUUGGAAACUGGAAAACUUGAGUGCAGAAGAGGAAAGUGGAAUUCCAUGUGUAGCGGUGAAACGCGCAGAGAUAUGGAGGAACACCAGUGGCGAAGGCGACUUUCUGGUCUGUAACUGACGCUGAUGUGCGAAAGCGUGGGGAUCAAACAGGAUUAGAUACCCCCGUAGUCCCUGUCUCUUAUAU